CCGUGACCCGGCAUCGGGAUACGGUUAAAGCCUUCGGGCGGUAUAAGAUGGCCAUGCGUCCCAUUAGCUUGUUGGUAAGGUAACGGCUUACCAAGGCUACGAUGGGUAGGGGCCCUGAGAGGGGGAUCCCCCACACUGGUACUGAGACACGGACCAGACUCCUACGGGAGGCAGCAGUGAGGAAUAUUGGACAAUGGAGGAGACUCUGAUCCAGCCAUGCCGCGUGCAGGAAGAAUGCCCUAUGGGUAGUAAACUGCUUUUAUACGGGAAGAAAAAAGAGUACGUGUACUCUACUGACGGUACCGUAAGAAUAAGGACCGGCUAACUCCGUGCCAGCAGCCGCGGUAAUACGGAGGGUCCGAGCGUUAUCCGGAAUUAUUGGGUUUAAAGGGUCCGUAGGCGGGCCGAUAAGUCAGGGGUGAAAGUUUGCAGCUCAACUGUAAAAUUGCCUUUGAUACUGUUGGUCUUGAGUUAUAGUGAAGUUGCCGGAAUAUGUAGUGUAGCGGUGAAAUGCAUAGAUAUUACAUAGAACACCGAUUGCGAAGGCAGGUGACUAACUAUAUACUGACGCUGAUGGACGAAAGCGUGGGGAGCGAACAGGAUUAGAUACCCUGGUAGUCCACGCCGUAAACGAUGGAUACUAGCUGUCCGAGGCCUUGAGUCUUGGGCGGCCAAGCGAAAGUGAUAAGUAUCCCACCUGGGGAGUACGUUCGCAAGAAUGAAACUCAA
RNAcentral lists this ribosomal RNA (729 nucleotides) under Maribacter sp. SRO_10. RNAcentral's name for it is "bacterial SSU rRNA". It matches the Rfam family "Bacterial small subunit ribosomal RNA", at positions 173 to 904 of the family's 1533-position model. Lineage: Bacteria; Pseudomonadati; Bacteroidota; Flavobacteriia; Flavobacteriales; Flavobacteriaceae. The record is from RNAcentral.